GCCCCUAUAGCCAAGCGGUAAGGCUGUUGGUUGCAACCCAAUGAGCGUAGGUUCGAUUCCUAUUAGGGGCU
This 71-nucleotide transfer RNA is filed under the name Clostridium sp. Its description in RNAcentral is "tRNA-Cys". It matches the Rfam family "tRNA". Rfam says of the family: Transfer RNA (tRNA) molecules are approximately 80 nucleotides in length. Their secondary structure includes four short double-helical elements and three loops (D, anti-codon, and T loops). Lineage: Bacteria; Bacillati; Bacillota; Clostridia; Eubacteriales; Clostridiaceae. The record is from RNAcentral.